RNAcentral lists this ribosomal RNA (433 nucleotides) under uncultured bacterium. Its description in RNAcentral is "partial 16S ribosomal RNA". It matches the Rfam family "Bacterial small subunit ribosomal RNA", at positions 29 to 507 of the family's 1533-position model. The record is from RNAcentral.
AACGAACGCUGGCGGCAUGCCUAACACAUGCAAGUCGAACGAGACCUUCGGGUCUAGUGGCGCACGGGUGCGUAACGCGUGGGAACCUGCCCUUAGGUUCGGAAUAACUCCCCGAAAGGGGUGCUAAUACCGGAUAAUGUCUUCGGACCAAAGAUUUAUCGCCUUUGGAUGGGCCCGCGUUGGAUUAGCUAGUUGGUAGGGUAAAAGCCUACCAAGGCGACGAUCCAUAGCUGGUCUGAGAGGAUGAUCAGCCACACUGGGACUGCGACACGGCCCAGACUCCUACGGGAGGCAGCAGUGGGGAAUAUUGGACAAUGGGCGAAAGCCUGAUCCAGCAAUGCCGCGUGAGUGAUGAAGGCCUUAGGGUUGUAAAGCUCUUUUAACCGGGAUGAUAAUGACAGUACCGGGAGAAUAAGCUCCGGCUAACUCCGUG